CAGUCGCCGCGGUAAUACGUAGGGUGCAAGCGUUAAUCGGAAUUACUGGGCGUAAAGCGUGCGCAGGCGGUAAUGUAAGACAGAUGUGAAAUCCCCGGGCUCAACCUGGGAACUGCAUUUGUGACUGCAUUGCUGGAGUGCGGCAGAGGGGGAUGGAAUUCCGCGUGUAGCAGUGAAAUGCGUAGAUAUGCGGAGGAACACCGAUGGCGAAGGCAAUCCCCUGGGCCUGCACUGACGCUCAUGCACGAAAGCGUGGGGAGCAAACAGGAUUAGAUACCCCGGUAGUCCCUGUCUCUUAUAU
This 301-nucleotide ribosomal RNA is filed under the name uncultured bacterium. RNAcentral describes it as "partial 16S ribosomal RNA". It matches the Rfam family "Bacterial small subunit ribosomal RNA", at positions 509 to 809 of the family's 1533-position model. The record is from RNAcentral.